GGCGCGCUGGCCUAUCUGCUGGGGUCGGCGCUGGGCGCGUCGGCCGGCUCGCUCGAGCUGUUCUACGCCGCGCGCGUCA
This 79-nucleotide transfer RNA is filed under the name Achromobacter xylosoxidans. RNAcentral describes it as "tRNA-Pro". RNAcentral also lists the same sequence under 1 other name. Lineage: Bacteria; Pseudomonadati; Pseudomonadota; Betaproteobacteria; Burkholderiales; Alcaligenaceae. The record is from RNAcentral.